AUCGCAAGUUGUGUUAGUCUGGA
Molecule: non-coding RNA, 23 nt
Filed under: Arabidopsis thaliana (thale cress)
Lineage: Eukaryota; Viridiplantae; Streptophyta; Magnoliopsida; Brassicales; Brassicaceae
Source: RNAcentral